This is a transfer RNA of Camelus ferus (Wild Bactrian camel), 73 nucleotides long. It matches the Rfam family "tRNA". From Rfam's summary of the family: Transfer RNA (tRNA) molecules are approximately 80 nucleotides in length. Their secondary structure includes four short double-helical elements and three loops (D, anti-codon, and T loops). Lineage: Eukaryota; Metazoa; Chordata; Mammalia; Artiodactyla; Camelidae. The record is from Rfam.
GAGGGUAUAGCUCACGUGGUAGAGAGCAUGCUUAGCAUGUAUGAGGUCCUGGGUUCAAUCCCCGGUACCUCCU